This 879-nucleotide ribosomal RNA is filed under the name uncultured bacterium. Its description in RNAcentral is "bacterial SSU rRNA". It matches the Rfam family "Bacterial small subunit ribosomal RNA", at positions 9 to 873 of the family's 1533-position model. The record is from RNAcentral.
AGAGUUUGAUCCUGGCUCAGGACGAACGCUGGCGGCGCGCUUAACACAUGCAAGUCGAGCGAGAACCAAGCCUUCGGGCUUGGGGACAGCGGCGAACGGGUGAGUAACACGUGAGUAAUCCACCCUUGGUACCGGGAUAGCUCGGGGAAACUCGAAUUAAUACCGGAUGGCCCAUUAGCCUUUCGAGGCGAAUGGAAAAGGUAGCUUCGGCCUCCGACCAAGGACGAGCUCGCGGCGGAUUAGCUUGUUGGCGGGGUAAUGGCCCACCAAGGCGACGAUCCGUAGCUGGUCUGAGAGGACGAUCAGCCACACUGGGACUGAGACACGGCCCAGACUCCUACGGGAGGCAGCAGUGGGGAAUCUUGCGCAAUGGGCGAAAGCCUGACGCAGCGACGCCGCGUGAGGGAAGAAGGCCUUCGGGUUGUAAACCUCCUUCAGGAGGGACGAAGCCACUCGGGUUAAUAGCCCAGAGGGUGACGGUACCUCCAGAAGAAGCCCCGGCUAACUACGUGCCAGCAGCCGCGGUAAUACGUAGGGGGCAUGCGUUGUCCGGAUUUAUUGGGCGUAAAGAGCGUGUAGGCGGUUUUACAGGUCCGCUGUGAAAACUCGAGGCUCAACCUCGAGCUGUCGGUGGAAACCGUAAGGCUAGAGUCCGGAAGAGGAGAGUGGAAUUCCUGGUGUAGCGGUGAAAUGCGCAGAUAUCAGGAAGAACACCCGUGGCGAAGGCGGCUCUCUGGGACGGUACUGACGCUGAGACGCGAAAGCGUGGGGAGCGAACAGGAUUAGAUACCCUGGUAGUCCACGCCGUAAACGAUGGGUGCUAGGUGUGGGGGGUGUCAACUCCCCCCGUGCCGAAGCUAACGCAUUAAGCACCCCGCC